RNAcentral lists this unclassified non-coding RNA (203 nucleotides) under Hevea brasiliensis (rubber tree). Lineage: Eukaryota; Viridiplantae; Streptophyta; Magnoliopsida; Malpighiales; Euphorbiaceae. The record is from RNAcentral.
GAGAAAAUUGGAAGCGAAAGGGGUGCCUACGAAGCAAGCGGAGGCUAUAACGGCUGCUAUUACUGAAGUUUUGAGCGAUAGCUUGGAAAAUGUAGCUCAGACAUUUGUUUCUAAAGCUGAUUUGCAGAGACUUGAGAUGAUUCAAGAAUCCAAGUUGUCCAAAUUUAAGUCCGAAGUUCAAAGCUCUCAGGAGAACCACUUUU